AUCAUCUUGGGACGCGGUGCAAACCAGUGUGGACCUGAUUUCAUGUGCUGAAUUGUUUUGUGGGGGAAGUGUCAGAAUGGAGGCGUGAAGGAUUCUGUGGCAUCCAGACCUUCUCGGGUCAUUCCCAAUAUGCCAAGCAAGAGACCGAGGCCAGGAAAAUUCAUCACCCUCGUUGAAGCAGUGGGAUGUAACGACUAAGGGCUUAUGCCCUUGAGCCAGAUGGCCCAGCCCUUUACCCCAGCCCGCUGCCACUUGGGCGCAUGGCUGGCACAUUGCUUAACCUCUCCAUGCUUCCAUUUUCUCAUCUGUAAAAUGGGAGUGCAAACUGCCUCAGGAUUAUUGAGAAGGUUAAGCUAGUGAUUAUGUAACCUGCUUAGAACAAUGCCUGGCACACUGUUUAGUGUAUGAUAAAUUUAUUAAUAUUAACAUCAUCUGUAUUUCCAGGCAUUAUUACUUAAGCCGUGGCAUAGCUUUUCCCAUUUGAAACAGGCUAGUGUUUUGUUUUGUUUUGUUUUGUUCUAAUAGUGAGAACCGUUUAGAAAGUCUAAAGUCCUGUGAAAAUACCAGUGGGGUCGGUUAACUCGGGUUAGCUUGGUGUGCUUCUCUGACCUGGCCCUGGCUUGGGAGUACACGUUUUCUGAAUCUUACAGGACCUGCCUGAUGUGCAAGAGCUCAUCACUCAAGUGCGGUCGGAGAAGUGCUCCCUGCAGGCCGCAGCCAUCCUUGGUGAGCCCCCUGCCUGGCCUUUGUAUCCCCAGACUUCCCUUCCUGCCACUCCCCUUCUCUGUCACACCCCACACUACUGUUUUAAGGUUGAAAGGGUUGUCUUGGUUCAUCUGUAAGAUGUUCCUGGCCUUUACUUGUGCCAGCUGGGCAUCAGAUCGUGUAGAAGCAUUUCGAGAUGCACUGUUACACUGGCCCUUCUCCGUUACUGUCCUCAUGCAACUGUGCUGGCUUCACUGGGCCGACGGCAUUGGAUCUGGGAUUGAUCUGUUUAUCUCCACCACUUCUCAGCAGGAGACAGGCCUGGCUUCCCCACAUGCUGGCUCCUUUUGCUUUUGGGAUGUAGGGGCCACCUGUGUGAUAGGCCUCAUUUGUGAUUAGUGUGCUAUUAUAAAUCCUUGUUCUUACUGAAUCCCUGUGAAACUUUCAGAUGCAAACGACGCUCAUCAAACAGAGACCUCCUCCUCCCAAGUCAAGGACAAUAAGCCUCUGGUUGAACGGUUUGAGACAUUCUGCCUGGACCCUUCGCUUGUCACCAAGCAAGCCAACCUUGUGCACUUCCCACCAGGCUUCCAGCCCAUUCCCUGCAAGCCUUUGUUCUUUGACCUGGCCCUCAACCAUGUGGCUUUCCCACCCCUUGAGGACAAGUUGGAACAGAAGACCAAGAGUGGCCUCACUGGAUACAUCAAGGGCAUCUUUGGAUUCAGGAGCUAACCAGGCUCUUCCUCGGGGGCGGGGGAGAUUCUGACUCUUAAUCUGUAUUGUGAGAAAAUCCCAGCAAGUUCCAUGAUAUUAAAUCCAGGUCUGCAUUGGCCCGGGGCAAGAGUUUAACAUCUUCAGCCCUGCAUUCCUACAUCUUGUGUCUGUACACAUUCUUAAGCAGCGUGUCAGGAGAGCACCCUGUUGUCUUCUGGUAAAUGUGUGCAGGGUCAUCCUGUCUCCUGUACCUCCUGGGAAAGAGGCCGCUGCUGUCUGGUGCCCUGUGAGCUGUGAUUGAUUGCCUUUGGUCAGUAAUGCGUUCAGGAGUCCACACCAGGCACAGAUGGGGCCUUGAAACGCUUUGUCAUGCUUCUUCAGUACCAUGGAUUUGAAAUGAACUCAUCCUUGCUGUGAGCAUCCAGGAGCCCUUGAGAAGUUUAUCUAUGACUAUGAAACUGGCAACGUCACCCCAGAAUUACGGUCAGCCUUAUUCCCCUUCACCUCCCAGUGAACGCUAAGAAGUUUCAGACAAGCAGAGAGCUCUAUUUUUAGAAGAAAUAUGUUACACUCAGAAAUGAUGAAACCAAAUCUUAUAUUAAAAGGCAAAGAUGACGGAG
This 2039-nucleotide small RNA is filed under the name Pan troglodytes (chimpanzee). RNAcentral describes it as "retained intron". Lineage: Eukaryota; Metazoa; Chordata; Mammalia; Primates; Hominidae. The record is from RNAcentral.